Molecule: long non-coding RNA, 521 nt
Filed under: Lactuca sativa (garden lettuce)
Lineage: Eukaryota; Viridiplantae; Streptophyta; Magnoliopsida; Asterales; Asteraceae
Description: long non-coding RNA (LSAT_LNC008323)
Source: RNAcentral
CUGAAUCUGUAUCUUCAGCUGAUGAUCUUGAAAACAAGGAUCAUGAAGAUGAACAGUCUCUAGAACAAGAACUGGUUUCUGAAAAAGAUCAAGAACAUGAACAUCCAGAGUUGAUUUCUGAAAGCCAUGAAAGACCUUACUUUGUACCUGAACAUGUUGCUUCAUUAGCCUAUGAAAGACAAUUAAGUGGAGUCAGUGACUCCAAGUUGAGCUCUAUACCUGAUACAGAAUCGGUAUCUUCAGCUAGUGAUCUUGAAAAUAAGGAUCAUAUAGAAGAUGACCACCAUUCUCUAGAACACGAACUGGUUUCUGAAAAAGAUCAAGAACAUGAACAUGAAGAGUUGAUUUCUGAAAGCCAUGAAAGACCUUACUUUGUACCUGAACAUGUUGAUUCGGUGGCUUUUGAAAGACAAUCAAGUGAAGUUGGUGACUCCAAGUUGAGCUCUACAUCUGAUACAGAAUCUGUUUCUUCAGCUGAUGAUCUUGAAAAUAAGGACCAUAUUGACCUUUCUCAAGAACCA